GGGCCUAUAGCUCAGUUGGUUAGAGCAACAGACUCAUAAUCUGUGGGUCGUAGGUUCAAGUCCUACUGGGCCCA
RNAcentral lists this transfer RNA (74 nucleotides) under Leptospiraceae bacterium. RNAcentral describes it as "tRNA-Ile". It matches the Rfam family "tRNA". From Rfam's summary of the family: Transfer RNA (tRNA) molecules are approximately 80 nucleotides in length. Their secondary structure includes four short double-helical elements and three loops (D, anti-codon, and T loops). Further hydrogen bonds mediate the characteristic L-shaped molecular structure. tRNAs have two regions of fundamental functional importance: the anti-codon, which is responsible for specific mRNA codon recognition, and the 3' end, to which the tRNAs corresponding amino acid is attached (by aminoacyl-tRNA synthetases). tRNAs cope with the degeneracy of the genetic code in two manners: having more than one tRNA (with a specific anti-codon) for a particular amino acid; and 'wobble' base-pairing, i.e. permitting non-standard base-pairing at the 3rd anti-codon position. Lineage: Bacteria; Pseudomonadati; Spirochaetota; Leptospiria; Leptospirales; Leptospiraceae. The record is from RNAcentral.